AUUGAACGCUGGCGGCAGGCCUAACACAUGCAAGUCGAGCGGAUGAAGGGAGCUUGCUCCUGGAUUCAGCGGCGGACGGGUGAGUAAUGCCUAGGAAUCUGCCUGGUAGUGGGGGAUAACGUCCGGAAACGGGCGCUAAUACCGCAUACGUCCUGAGGGAGAAAGUGGGGGAUCUUCGGACCUCACGCUAUCAGGUGAGCCUAGGUCGGAUUAGCUAGUUGGUGGGGUAAAGGCCUACCAAGGCGACGAUCCGUAACUGGUCUGAGAGGAUGAUCAGUCACACUGGAACUGAGACACGGUCCAGACUCCUACGGGAGGCAGCAGUGGGGAAUAUUGGACAAUGGGCGAAAGCCUGAUCCAGCCAUGCCGCGUGUGUGAAGAAGGUCUUCGGAUUGUAAAGCACUUUAAGUUGGGAGGAAGGGAAGUAAGUUAAUACCUUGCUGUUUUGACGUUACCAACAGAAUAAGCACCGGCUAACUUCGUG
Molecule: ribosomal RNA, 484 nt
Filed under: uncultured bacterium
Lineage: Bacteria
Description: partial 16S ribosomal RNA
Rfam family: Bacterial small subunit ribosomal RNA
Source: RNAcentral